CCCAUAACAGGGGGAUAACAUUGAGAAAUUGGUACUAAUACCCCAUAACAUCAGGACCGGCAUCGGUUCUGGUUGAAAACUCCGGUGGUUAUGGAUGGGCAUGCGUUGUAUUAGCUGGUUGGUGAGGUAACGGCUCACCAAGGCAACGAUACAUAGGGGGACUGAGAGGUUAACCCCCCACAUUGGUACUGAGACACGGACCAAACUCCUACGGGAGGCAGCAGUGAGGAAUAUUGGUCAAUGGACGCAAGUCUGAACCAGCCAUGCCGCGUGCAGGAAGACGGCUCUAUGAGUUGUAAACUGCUUUUGUACGAGGGUAAACGCUCUUACGCGUAAGAGCCUGAAAGUAUCGUACGAAUAAGGAUCGGCUAACUCCGUGCCAGCAGCCGCGGUAAUACGGAGGAUCCAAGCGUUAUCCGGAUUUAUUGGGUUUAAAGGGUGCGUAGGCGGUUUGAUAAGUUAGAGGUGAAAUACCGGUGCUUAACACCGGAACUGCCUCUAAUACUGUUGAACUAGAGAGUAGUUGCGGUAGGCGGAAUGUAUGGUGUAGCGGUGAAAUGCUUAGAGAUCAUACAGAACACCGAUUGCGAAGGCAGCUUACCAAACUAUAUCUGACGUUGAGGCACGAAAGCGUGGGGAGCAAACAGGAUUAGAUACCCUGGUAGUCCACGCAGUAAACGAUGGUAACUCGCUGUCGGCG
This 700-nucleotide ribosomal RNA is filed under the name uncultured bacterium. Its description in RNAcentral is "bacterial SSU rRNA". It matches the Rfam family "Bacterial small subunit ribosomal RNA", at positions 129 to 828 of the family's 1533-position model. The record is from RNAcentral.